GGGGUUGUGGCUCAGUGGUAGAGUACUCACCUUGCACAUGUGAAGCACUGGGUUCAAUCCUCAGCCCCA
Molecule: transfer RNA, 69 nt
Filed under: Marmota monax (woodchuck)
Lineage: Eukaryota; Metazoa; Chordata; Mammalia; Rodentia; Sciuridae
Rfam family: tRNA
About the family: Transfer RNA (tRNA) molecules are approximately 80 nucleotides in length. Their secondary structure includes four short double-helical elements and three loops (D, anti-codon, and T loops).
Source: Rfam by way of RNAcentral